UGACCCUUAGAAGACUGAGAUGAGCCC
RNAcentral lists this non-coding RNA (27 nucleotides) under Rattus norvegicus (Norway rat). Lineage: Eukaryota; Metazoa; Chordata; Mammalia; Rodentia; Muridae. The record is from RNAcentral.